Long non-coding RNA from Cynoglossus semilaevis (tongue sole), 2293 nucleotides. RefSeq lists it as uncharacterized. The record is from RefSeq and is a predicted model, not a curated record. The transcript has 7 exons. Lineage: Eukaryota; Metazoa; Chordata; Actinopteri; Pleuronectiformes; Cynoglossidae.
CCCCCACCCCAACCCCGGAAAAAUUCUCCAAAAAAAAAAAAAAAAAAGGACGUCUAAUUCUACUUUUCGACCCGAACGCCCAGGUCCGAGGUUUCUCACCUGAGCAGAGCAGAGACGUACAUAGAAACCCAUCAGUGUAUUUGCAAGUUCUUUUCUUCACGGAGCAAACAACAACAACAACAAAAAAAAAUAUAUAUAUAUAUAUAAAAACAGUCAUGUAGUCCUUUUGUAUCUUUGCAGAACUGUGAUUAAAAAAAGAAAAAGAAAAAAGAAGCAACCUUUAAUGUAUCUAUUGGAGAUGUCCACAUGCAGAAGAGAUUGUUCGGAGAUUUUCCUCUUUCUCUCUAUCUCUGUCUCUCUCUCUCUUUCUCUUUCUUUUAUUUUAUUUAUUUAUUUUUUUUUUUUCAUGCAGUUGAUUUUCCUUGGUAUUGGCAACGUGCUGGCAUCAAAGAAUAUCAGUUUACAUAUACAGUAUUAAUAAAGUGUAAUAAAAUCCCACCAAAGGACAUUAUCAAUGUUCAGGUUUUUUUUUUUUUCUGUUUUUUGUUUUUUUUUUGUUAUUGCUUUAACAGGAGAAUUUAAGUGAAUAAAAGUUUGAAAAUUAUAGUCUGUUUAUCACGUGUCACACUUAUAUGGGCUUCACUUCCUGUUUCAUCCCCCAGUGUUUCAUCAUACAGAAUUUUUGUUAUGGUUCCACUUUUGUUUUUAUUUUUUUUUUAUUUAUUUUUUUUUAUGUCAUGUCAAUAUACGAGAUUGUCUUUUUCAUUACUUUAUAUAUCAUUUUACAGUUUUUAAUACAAACAUCCAUAAGACAUGAGUUCCCCACAUGUUGAUAACUGUGUUGAAAUCCAUUUGGUAAAUCGAGAUGUUUGUCUUGAGGUUCUCCGAAAAAGAAAACGUGAAAUGUGAUUUUCUUUUUUUUUCCCAACAUAUUCUGUCAUCCUGAGCCAUUCCCACAAUGCAUCAUGCCUCCAUACUGACAAGUCAGCUAAACCAAUGCUGUAUGUGAUCAUUGGAACCGAACCCCCUGACAAGGCUUCGCUGACAAAAUGAUGGCAUGAAAAGUCGGUAGUGAUAUUUCCGUGCUAUUUAUCUUGAAUUUAAUCUGGCGGAGAUUUGUUUCAGUGUCGUGCAUUGUCGGAGGCACUGAAUUAAUUAUUUACAACUAUUGAUGUCUCCCAGGGAGCCCGGGCUCAAAGUUUAUAUAGUGGCUCUUGUCAGACGGCCGACAGUUCAUCCAUAACCUGAAAUAUUGAAGGCCGACUUUGGCUCGACAUGGUCCUGUUUCCAAAGUUUGUCUCAAAACAAGUCGAAUAACUUAUAAAGAGACCAAUGUGUUUAAUUCGGGGGGGGAAGAGAAUUUAAGUUUAGAGGAUUGUUCCUAACAAAUACUUCAAUAAUAAUUCUUCAUAAUUUUGUUGUUCUUAUUCUCGACGUUGCCCUAACGCUAUUGUAAAUCAUUCAACCAGUUUGAAUUACGAGUCCGACCAGUCCCUCGAUGACAGACGUUCGUACUCGAAUCAAACGACACAUUCUCAGCUAGCUUCGGUAGACUUCGGUGAUUCACGGAGGUACUAGAUUAGAACACUUCCAAAUGCGUCCGACUCUGGGGGACGUCCUGGUGAAUUCACUCAAAGUCACUUGUUUGUCAAGGUCUCCUGCCGUGGCUUUUUUAAAUUUAACCAUGUAUUUUGCCCAGGUGUCAACAUGCAAUAGCGUCGCUGUUGUUUGGGGGAAGGGACUGUAUCCUUGAUUCCUCACCCCCCGGCUCUGUGGGCUCCCCCAUGAAGAACAUGGACGGUCACUGGACGACCACCGUCAUUUGUGUCAUUUGGAAGUGGGGGUUUCGCAUGAUUUUACAGAGAAAAUGGUCGGCCACGGUGUGAUCGGAGUAAGAUCGGUGACCGUCAACACCGGGCGAAGGGAAAAUAAAGGUGGAAAAACAGGGACUUGCAGAGCUCUGGUGGUACAACCGCAGCAUCGGCGCUGAUCGCCUCAACAAAUGCCAAGUCACAAAGUUGAAACCAGACGGUUGUUUCCCCCGUGUCAACCCUGUCCUCGCGCUCUCACCUGUGUCAAGCUAAAAGAAAGAAAGACUGAUUCGAAAGGGGCGUGGCCACCUUGAGGGCACGGAGACAUUUCAAGUAGGAGCGCAGCAGAACUCGUCCCAGUCAGACUACGAUAACACGUGACGACCAGACACGACGAGCCGAUGCAGACGGACAAGAGCAGCAAAUGAAAUGAAGCCGCGGCUCUGAGAAGUACACCAGGGGUGCGAACGAGACGGUGCCUU